This 483-nucleotide ribosomal RNA is filed under the name uncultured bacterium. RNAcentral's name for it is "partial 16S ribosomal RNA". It matches the Rfam family "Bacterial small subunit ribosomal RNA", at positions 28 to 523 of the family's 1533-position model. The record is from RNAcentral.
GACGAACGCUGGCGGCGUGCUUAACACAUGCAAGUCGAACGAUGAAGCCGGAGCUUGCUCCGGUGGAUUAGUGGCGAACGGGUGAGUAACACGUGAGCAAUCUGCCCUUGACUCUGGGAUAACUGCGGGAAACUGUAGCUAAUACCGGAUACGACACCUUGGGGCAUCCCAGGGUGUGGAAAGAAUUUCGGUCAAGGAUGAGCUCGCGGCCUAUCAGCUAGUUGGUGAGGUAAUGGCCCACCAAGGCGACGACGGGUAGCCGGCCUGAGAGGGGUACCGGCCACACUGGAACUGAGACACGGUCCAGACGACUACGGGAGGCAGCAGUGGGGAAUAUUGCACAAUGGGCGAAAGCGUGAUGCAGCAACGCCGCGUGAGGGAUGAAGGCCUUCGGGUUGUAAACCUCUUUUAGCAGGGAAGAAGCGAAAGUGACGGUACCUGCAGAAAAAGCACCGGCUAACUACGUGCCAGCAGCCGCCGUAA